GGGUUGUGAGGUUAAGCGACUAAGCGUACACGGUGGAUGCCCUGGCAGUCAGAGGCGAUGAAGGGCGUGCUAAUCUGCGAUAAGCGCCGGUAAGGUGAUAUGAACCGUUAUAACCGGCGAUACCCGAAUGGGGAAACCCAGUGUGACUCGUCACACUAUCAUUAACUGAAUCCAUAGGUUAAUGAGGCGAACCGGGGGAACUGAAACAUCU
Molecule: ribosomal RNA, 211 nt
Filed under: Salmonella enterica
Lineage: Bacteria; Pseudomonadati; Pseudomonadota; Gammaproteobacteria; Enterobacterales; Enterobacteriaceae
Also listed under: 1 other name
Description: partial 23S ribosomal RNA
Rfam family: Bacterial large subunit ribosomal RNA
Source: RNAcentral